RNAcentral lists this ribosomal RNA (772 nucleotides) under uncultured bacterium. Its description in RNAcentral is "bacterial SSU rRNA". It matches the Rfam family "Bacterial small subunit ribosomal RNA", at positions 35 to 826 of the family's 1533-position model. The record is from RNAcentral.
GCUGGCGGCAUGCCUACACAUGCAAGUCGAACGGCAGCACGGGAAGCUUGCUCCUGGUGGCGAGUGGCGGACGGGUGAGUAAUGCGUAGGAAUCUGCCCAGUAGUGGGGGACAACCUGGGGAAGCUCAGGCUAAUACCGCAUACGCCCUACGGGGGAAAGUGGGGGAUCUUCGGACCUCACGCUAUUGGAUGAGCCUAUGUCAGAUUAGCUAGUUGGUAGGGUAAAGGCCUACCAAGGCGACGAUCUGUAGCUGGUUUGAGAGGAUGAUCAGCCACACUGGGACUGAGACACGGCCCAGACUCCUACGGGAGGCAGCAGUGGGGAAUCUUAGACAAUGGGGGAAACCCUGAUCUAGCCAUGCCGCGUGAGCGAUGAAGGCCUUAGGGUUGUAAAGCUCUUUCAGUGGGGAAGAUAAUGACGGUACCCACAGAAGAAGCCCCGGCUAACUCCGUGCCAGCAGCCGCGGUAAUACGGAGGGGGCUAGCGUUGUUCGGAAUUACUGGGCGUAAAGCGCGCGUAGGCGGGCUGGAAAGUUGGGGGUGAAAUCCCGGGGCUCAACCCCGGAACUGCCUCCAAAACUAUCAGCCUUGAGUUCGAGAGAGGUGAGUGGAAUUCCGAGUGUAGAGGUGAAAUUCGUAGAUAUUCGGAGGAACACCAGUGGCGAAGGCGGCUCACUGGCUCGAUACUGACGCUGAGGUGCGAAAGUGUGGGGAGCAAACAGGAUUAGAUACCUGGUAGUCCACACCGUAAACGAUGAAUGCCAGACGUCGG